GACGAACGCUGGCGGCGUGCCUUAUGCAUGCAAGUCGAACGAGGACCUCACAGCAGGUAACUGUUGAGUGGUACCUAGUGGCGAACGGGUGAGUAACACGUGAGGAACCUGCCCCGGAGACCGGGAUAGUCCAGGGAAACUUGGAGUAAUACUGGAUACCCUCCGUUAGUCGCAUGGCCGACGGAGGAAAGAGUCCGCUGCUCCGGGAUGGCCUCGCGACCUAUCAGCUAGUUGGUGAGGUAACGGCUCACCAAGGCUCCGACGGGUAGCUGGUCUGAGAGGACGAUCAGCCACACUGGGACUGAGAUACGGCCCAGACUCCUACGGGAGGCAGCAGCAAGGAAUAUUGCACAAUGGGCGGAAGCCCGAUGCAGCGACGCCGCGUGAGGGAUGAAGGCCUUCGGGUUGUAAACCUCUUUCAGGAGGGAAGAAGCGAAAGUGACGGUACCUCCAGAAGAAGCCCCGGCCAACUACGUGCCAGCAGCCGCGGUAAUACGUAGGGGGCGAGCGUUGUCCGGAAUUAUUGGGCGUAAAGAGCUCGUAGGCGGCUCAGUAAGUCGGCCGUGAAAGCCCGGGGCUCAACCCCGGGAGGUCGGUCGAUACUGCUGUGGCUAGGGUCCGGUAGAGGAGAGUGGAAUUCCCGGUGUAGCGGUGAAAUGCGCGGAUAUCGGGAGGAACACCAGUAGCGAAGGCGGCUCUCUGGGCCGGCACCGACGCUGAGGAGCGAAAGCUAGGGGAGCAAACAGGAUUAGAUGCCCUGGUAGUCCUAGCCGUAAACGAUGGGCACUAGGUGUGGCGGAUUCAUUGACAUCUGCUGUGCCGAAGCUAACGCAUUAAGUGCCCCGCCUGGGGAGUACGGUCGCAAGGCUAAAACUCAAAGGAAUUGACGGGGGCCCGCACAAGCGGUGGGGCAUGUGGUUUAAUUCGAUGCAACGCGAAGAACCUUACCUGCCCUUGACAUCCUGGGAACUCUCUGGAGACAGAGAGGUGCCUUCGGGAACCCAGUGACAGGUGCUGCAUGGCUGUCGUCAGCUCGUGUCGUGAGAUGUUGGGUUAAGUCCCGUAACGAGCGCAACCCUUGUCCUUAGUUGCCAGCACGUAAUGGUGGGGACUCUAAGGAGACUGCCGGUGACAAACCGGAGGAAGGUGGGGAUGACGUCAAGUCAUCAUGGCCCUUAUGGGCAGGGCUACACACGUGCUACGAUGGGUGGUACAGAGGGAUGCCAACUCGCGAGAGGGAGCUAAUCCCAGAAAACCAUUCGUAGUCCGGAUUGCAGUCUGCAACUCGACUGCAUGAAGUCGGAAUCGCUAGUAAUCGCGGAUCAGAACGCCGCGGUGAAUACGUUCCCGGGCCUUGUACACACCGCCCGUCACACCAUGGGAGUGGGCUGUACCAGAAGCCGGUAGCUUAACCUUCGGGAGAGCGCCGUCCACGGUGUGGUUCAUGACUGGGGUG
Molecule: ribosomal RNA, 1456 nt
Filed under: uncultured bacterium
Lineage: Bacteria
Description: partial 16S ribosomal RNA
Rfam family: Bacterial small subunit ribosomal RNA
Source: RNAcentral